Molecule: small RNA, 136 nt
Filed under: Paenibacillus sp. P22
Lineage: Bacteria; Bacillati; Bacillota; Bacilli; Caryophanales; Paenibacillaceae
Description: Ribosomal protein L10 leader
Rfam family: Ribosomal protein L10 leader
About the family: This family is a putative r-protein leader autoregulatory structure found in B. subtilis and other low-GC Gram-positive bacteria.
Source: RNAcentral
AACUUCAGAACACGCAUACCUAAGACAGUAGGUGCCUUCGGGCUUAAUCCCCUACCGAGGUGUUAUGAUAUACGUUUCCCGUAAACGGACAAUCAUGGCCUUCGCUGUCUUGGCGGAGGCCUUUAUUCAUGCACCG